GCGGCCUUCGGGACAGAGGAGACAGGUGGUGCAUGGUUGUCGUCAGCUCGUGUCGUGAGAUGUUGGGUUAAGUCCCGCAACGAGCGCAACCCUUAACUUUAGUUGCCAGCAGGUAAUGCUGGGCACUCUAGAGUGACUGCCGGUGACAAACCGGAGGAAGGUGGGGAUGACGUCAAAUCAUCAUGCCCCUUAUGACCUGGGCUACACACGUACUACAAUGGCCGGUACAACGGGAAGCGAAGCCGCGAGGUGGAGCCAAUCCCAUCAAAGCCGGUCUCAGUUCGGAUUGCAGGCUGCAACUCGCCUGCAUGAAGUCGGAAUUGCUAGUAAUCGCGGAUCAGCAUGCCGCGGUGAAUACGUUCCCGGGUCUUGUACACACCGCCCGUCACACCACGAGAGUUUACAACACCCGAAGUCGGUGGGGUAACCCGCAAGGGAGCCAGCCGCCGAAGGUGGGGUAGAUGAUUGGGGUGAAGUCGUAACAAGGUAGCCGUAUCGGAAGGUGCGGCUGGAUCACCUCCUUUCUAUGGAGA
Molecule: ribosomal RNA, 533 nt
Filed under: Paenibacillus odorifer
Lineage: Bacteria; Bacillati; Bacillota; Bacilli; Caryophanales; Paenibacillaceae
Description: bacterial SSU rRNA
Rfam family: Bacterial small subunit ribosomal RNA
Source: RNAcentral